This 311-nucleotide ribosomal RNA is filed under the name Salmonella enterica. RNAcentral describes it as "bacterial SSU rRNA". It matches the Rfam family "Bacterial small subunit ribosomal RNA", at positions 1205 to 1515 of the family's 1533-position model. The record is from RNAcentral. Lineage: Bacteria; Pseudomonadati; Pseudomonadota; Gammaproteobacteria; Enterobacterales; Enterobacteriaceae. RNAcentral also lists the same sequence under 2 other names.
CGACCAGGGCUACACACGUGCUACAAUGGCGCAUACAAAGAGAAGCGACCUCGCGAGAGCAAGCGGACCUCAUAAAGUGCGUCGUAGUCCGGAUUGGAGUCUGCAACUCGACUCCAUGAAGUCGGAAUCGCUAGUAAUCGUGGAUCAGAAUGCCACGGUGAAUACGUUCCCGGGCCUUGUACACACCGCCCGUCACACCAUGGGAGUGGGUUGCAAAAGAAGUAGGUAGCUUAACCUUCGGGAGGGCGCUUACCACUUUGUGAUUCAUGACUGGGGUGAAGUCGUAACAAGGUAACCGUAGGGGAACCUGC